Molecule: ribosomal RNA, 490 nt
Filed under: uncultured bacterium
Lineage: Bacteria
Description: partial 16S ribosomal RNA
Rfam family: Bacterial small subunit ribosomal RNA
Source: RNAcentral
AUUGAACGCUGGCGGCAGGCCUAACACAUGCAAGUCGAACGGUAACAGGAAGAAGCUUGCUUCUUUGCUGACGAGUGGCGGACGGGUGAGUAAUGUCUGGGAAACUGCCUGAUGGAGGGGGAUAACUACUGGAAACGGUAGCUAAUACCGCAUAACGUCGCAAGACCAAAAAGGGGGACCUUCGGGCCUCUUGCCAUCGGAUGUGCCCAGAUGGGAUUAGCUAGUAGGUGGGGUAACGGCUCACCUAGGCGACGAUCCCUAGCUGGUCUGAGAGGAUGACCAGCCACACUGGAACUGAGACACGGUCCAGACUCCUACGGGAGGCAGCAGUGGGGAAUAUUGCACAAUGGGCGCAAGCCUGAUGCAGCCAUGCCGCGUGUAUGAAGAAGGCUUUCGGGUUGUAAAGUACUUUCAGCGGGGAGGAAGGGAGUAAAGUUAAUACCUUUGCUCAUUGACGUUACCCGCAGAAGAAGCACCGGCUAACUCCGUG